This 677-nucleotide long non-coding RNA is filed under the name Sinocyclocheilus anshuiensis. RNAcentral describes it as "lncRNA (ENSSANG00000018078.1)". Lineage: Eukaryota; Metazoa; Chordata; Actinopteri; Cypriniformes; Cyprinidae. The record is from RNAcentral.
GUUAUUAGAGAUUGUAUACAUACAGUUUUAUUGUUACAUGAGAACAGUUUUUCUGCAGAUAACGAUGACUCGGAUUGCAGCGGGUCACAGUCAGGGUCACGGCACCGGCACCGAUUGCUGCGACAUGGUCUUACCUUAUCAGAGGCUGAAGCAAAAAGUCAAAAGCAAGAGGUGAAGAAACCUAAGAAAAGAGAAGUCCAAGAUUUAGAAUGUGUUGUUGUGAGUAGUGAUGAAACGAGCGAAACGAGUGUAUCGAGCGGCGUGUAUGAUGAACUCAGCCAUUCAGAGUGUGAGGAAAUAGGGUCCCAGUCGCCCACUCGUAAUGAGAAGUUUCAGAGUCCGUCACGCACACCUGACAGGAGCAGCACUGCUGAUAAUGAUGUCUCUCCAACCACUGAGGAGCAUUUGAGGGGCACCCCGCGAGGGAGGAGGCAGAUCAGACCACUUCUGGAGGUGGGUCAGCUGGCCCAGGAGACACAGAGCGCUCUGAAAGAAGAGGAGGAGCGCAGGAGGAGAUUGGCAGAGAGAGAAAAACUGAGACUAGAAAAUGAGAGGAGAGAGCGAGAAGAUGCAGACCCAGAGGUGAUGAACUGCAUGGUGCCAUGUUCUGUUCUGUUUUGUAAAUAUUAAAGAGGUAGUUUACCAAGAAAUAAAAAUGUUGUUAUUUACUUUUCCUC